This 86-nucleotide transfer RNA is filed under the name Candidatus Zophobacter franzmannii. RNAcentral's name for it is "tRNA-Leu". It matches the Rfam family "tRNA". From Rfam's summary of the family: Transfer RNA (tRNA) molecules are approximately 80 nucleotides in length. Lineage: Bacteria; Pseudomonadati; Candidatus Cloacimonadota; Cloacimonadia (SeqCode); Cloacimonadales (SeqCode). The record is from RNAcentral.
GCGAGAGUGGCGGAAUUGGCAGACGCGCUGGAUUUAGGAUCCAGUGAGCAUAGCUCGUAGGGGUUCAAGUCCCCUCUUUCGCACCA